GAUCAUGGAGAAAGGAAGCAGAGUGGGGGAGGCAACGUGGGAUCACGGAUGGACGUGCGAUCGCCUGGGAUUUGGGGGAGAAUCACGAGCGGAUGGAGUGCUGGGCUGCGUCCGAACGGGCGCUUGAACGAAGGCAUGGAUCCGGGUGAAGAGUUUCGGAGGAUCUCCCUUCAUUAUUUUGUGAAGUGCGGAAGAGAAGCGUUGGGGGCAUUGAUCACGGAAUGGAACUGGGAGGAUGCGGGAUCAUCAAAAAUUUGGGAUGCUGGCAGCUAUCGCGUUGAUGGCAUGGAGGAUUUGGAAGGGAUGCCACGGCUGCAGGUGCGGACGAGUCACGGGAUGCAGAUACGGGCUGAGAGCUGGAGACGCAUUUUGUAGAAGCUAGCACAGGGAUGACGCUGAUGUGGACAGUUGAUGGUCUAGUGAUGUUUUAUUGAAUGCAGGUUCGGAUGAGACGUGGACGGCCGGGAUUUCAUGCAUGCAUGGCAGCUGGAGAAUUUGUUGAGCUCGGGCUGCCGGGCAUUGGGCUCAAACCCAAUGUUAUUGGGUUUCCUGGAUUACUUGCACUUAAACACAAAUACAACGUUAAUUAAUUAAUUUUAUUAUUAAUGAUUAACUAUAAUACUAAUUAAGAUGGUACGACG
This 641-nucleotide long non-coding RNA is filed under the name Phoenix dactylifera (date palm). Its description in RNAcentral is "long non-coding RNA (PDAC_LNC006722)". Lineage: Eukaryota; Viridiplantae; Streptophyta; Magnoliopsida; Arecales; Arecaceae. The record is from RNAcentral.